Podarcis lilfordi (Lilford's wall lizard) is the source of this 70-nucleotide non-coding RNA. Lineage: Eukaryota; Metazoa; Chordata; Lepidosauria; Squamata; Lacertidae. The record is from the annotation of a GenBank genome assembly.
GGAUAGCUCAGUUGGUUAAAGCACAGUGGUGAUAUUGCCAAGGUUGCAGGUUCAAUCCCUGUAUGAGACA